GGAGUUAGCCGGUGCUUCUUCUGCGAGUAACGUCACAGAUGUAAGGUAUUAACUUACACCCUUUCCUCCUCGCUGAAAGUGCUUUACAACCCGAAGGCCUUCUUCACACACGCGGCAUGGCUGCAUCAGGGUUUCCCCCAUUGUGCAAUAUUCCCCACUGCUGCCUCCCGUAGGAGUCUGGGCCGUGUCUCAGUCCCAGUGUGGCUGAUCAUCCUCUCAGACCAGCUAGGGAUCGUCGCCUAGGUGAGCCUUUACCUCACCUACUAGCUAAUCCCACCUGGGCUUAUCCAUCAGCGCAAGGCCCGAAGGUCCCCUCGCUUUCCCCCGUACGGGCGUAUGCGGUAUUAGCAGUCGUUUCCAACUGUUAUCCCCCACCAAAUAGGGCAAAUUACCCACGGCAUUACUCACCCGUCCGCCGCUCGUCAUCUUCAAAAGACAAGACUUUUGUAAAUAGUUACCGCUCGACUUGUCAUGUGUUAGGUCCUCGCCGCCAGCGUUCUAAUACUGAGCCACGGAUACAAACUACUGA
This 529-nucleotide ribosomal RNA is filed under the name uncultured bacterium. RNAcentral's name for it is "partial 16S ribosomal RNA". The record is from RNAcentral.